This 271-nucleotide ribosomal RNA is filed under the name uncultured bacterium. Its description in RNAcentral is "partial 16S ribosomal RNA". It matches the Rfam family "Bacterial small subunit ribosomal RNA", at positions 524 to 794 of the family's 1533-position model. The record is from RNAcentral.
UACGUAGGGGGCAAGCGUUGUCCGGAUUUACUGGGUGUAAAGGGCGCGCAGGCGGGUCGGUUAGUCAGAGGUGAAAGCCUGCAGCUUAACUGCAGAACUGCCUUUGAUACUGCCGAUCUUGAGUUCGGAAGAGAGAAGCGGAAUUCCAGGUGUAGUAGUGAAAUACGUAGAUAUCUGGAAGAACACCGGUUGCGAAGGCGGCCACUUAGUCCAUUACUGACGCUCAUGCUCGAAAGCGUGGGGAUCAAACAGGAUUAGAAACCCCAGUAGU